UACGGAGGGGGCAAGCGUUAUUCGGAAUUAUUGGGCGUAAAGGGCGCGUAGGCGGCUAGAUGUGUCAAAGGUGAAAUCCCUCGGCUCAACUGAGGAACUGCCUUUGAAACUGUCUGGCUUGAGGCCGGGAGAGGGUAGCAGAAUUCCCAGUGUAGCGGUGAAAUGCGUAGAUAUUGGGAGGAACACCAGUGGCGAAGGCGGCUACCUGGACCGGUUCUGACGCUGAGGCGCGAAAGCGUGGGUAGCAAACAGG
RNAcentral lists this ribosomal RNA (253 nucleotides) under uncultured bacterium. RNAcentral describes it as "partial 16S ribosomal RNA". It matches the Rfam family "Bacterial small subunit ribosomal RNA", at positions 524 to 776 of the family's 1533-position model. The record is from RNAcentral.